This 300-nucleotide ribosomal RNA is filed under the name uncultured bacterium. RNAcentral's name for it is "bacterial SSU rRNA". It matches the Rfam family "Bacterial small subunit ribosomal RNA", at positions 496 to 795 of the family's 1533-position model. The record is from RNAcentral.
GCUAACUACGUGCCAGCAGCCGCGGUAAUACGUAGGUGGCAAGCGUUGUCCGGAUUUAUUGGGCGUAAAGGGAGCGCAGGCGGUGACUUAAGUCUGAUGUGAAAGCCCACGGCUCAACCGUGGAAGGUCAUUGGAAACUGGGUCACUUGAAUGGAGCAGAGGAGAACGGAAUUCCAUGUGUAGCAGUGAAAUGCGUAGAUAUAUGGAGGAACACCAGUGGCGAAGGCGGUUCUCUGGGCUCACAUUGACGCUGAGGCUCGAAAGCGUGGGGAGCGAACAGGAUUAGAUACCCGUGUAGUC